RNAcentral lists this ribosomal RNA (2160 nucleotides) under Triticum aestivum (bread wheat). RNAcentral describes it as "partial small subunit ribosomal RNA". Lineage: Eukaryota; Viridiplantae; Streptophyta; Magnoliopsida; Poales; Poaceae. The record is from RNAcentral.
AUGGAUACCGAAAUUAUUAUCAGACACAAAGAUGACCUGGAGCGCAUGCUGCUUGAUGGAAGCGCAGAGCCAACGUACCUGCCGUUAUCACUUUUAGAAGAUAUCACAAACUGUUUCUCCGAUGCUCAGCGAAUAGGCAGCGGAGGGUUCGCGGUGGUAUAUAAGGGAAUUGUGGGAAAAGGGAUAGUCGCUGUCAAGAAGCUGUCCCAACCAUAUGGUAUGCAUGAGGAUAAAUUCCUUAAAGAGGUUGGGUGCUUGGUGAAGGCCAAGCACAAAAACAUAGUACGUUUCCUGGGAUAUUGUUCUGACACACAAGGGAGACUUGCAAACUAUGAAGGGAAGGUUAUCAUGGCAGAUCUGCGGAAUUGGUUGCUAUGUUUUGAGUAUGUACCAAAUGGAAGCCUUGAUAAGUAUAUUACUGAUGCGUCUUGCAGACUUGAAUGGAGGAAGCGCUAUAAUAUUAUCAAGGGAAUAUGUGAGGGCCUACUUCAUCUUCAUGAGUUACGCAUUCUCCACUUGGAUCUGAAGCCUGCUAAUAUAUUGGUAGAUGAACACAUGGCACCCAAAAUUGCUGACUUUGGUCUAUCAAGGUGCCUUGAUAAAGAGCAAACCCGGGUUUUUACUUCAAACCUAUGUGGUUCGCAGGGAUAUUUGGCACCCGAAUUCUUUGGAGGGCAAGUCGCAUUUGCGUCGGACAUUUACAGUCUUGGAGUCAUCAUUGUGGAGAUGCUGACAGGCAAGAAGGGGUAUUCAGAAGAUGAGAAUGUGGUUGACACUUGGAUGAAUCGGUUGGAGGGAUUGGAUCAAUGGGAGACACAGCUGGAGCAAGUAAGAGUAUGCAUUAAGAUAGGGAUAGAGUGCAUGAACUCGGACCCAAAGAAGAGACCUGUUGCAAGUCAUAUAACUGACAUGCUUGGCAACAUAGCAAAUGCCGUCGAAACUGGUAUCGAUAGUUCAUCAAUUGAGCACCAGGUUUGUUUUCUAAAGGAACAAUAUUGUGAAGAGAAAAUUGCAGAUCUUUCAUCUGAGUCAAUAGGAAAGGAUAUCAAGGAAUGCUUUGAAAUGGAAGAACUUGCGGAACAUGUUAGAGAAGAUCAUUGGCAGGAAGAAGAAGAAGAAGCUCCAGUUGAUCAAUGGUCAUUGUCCUGGAAACUGCAAUCUAGCUCUAACUCUGGUAUGUUGCAUAAGUUGAAGAAUAUGGACAUCUUCGGCAGAAAAGCACGCAGAGACUUUUACCAGAGGAUAGGCGGGUCUGUACUAAAGAGAACUAAUCAAUUUAAAUUUUUCGAAAAGCGUGAGCUCAAGCCAGUUUUGAAGUAUGAGAAUCUUAGUUUGAAAGAUGGCUUUGGUGAAAUUUACAAGGGCCUUGUCGAUAAUGUACCAAUAACAGUAAGGAAGCUGAUUAGUAAAACUGUGGGAGAUAACGCUGCUUUGUUGAAUGAAAUCAUAAUCCAGUCUCAAGUCAUUCACAAAAACAUUGUUAGGCUCAGAGGCUGUUGCUUGGAAUCUGACACCCCCAUGUUAGUCUAUGACUUCCUGUCCACAGAUAGCCUGGAUGACAUUCUUCACAUCAAUAUCAUGGUGCCUCUCAAGCUUGGCGUGCGAUUAAGUAUUGCCGCAACAUCAGCAGGUGCUCUAGCUUAUGCGCAUUCAAAGGCAAGUACCAAACCUUUACAUGGUGAUCUUAAACCAGCAAAUAUACUCUUCAAUGGAAACUUUGUGCCAAAGAUCUUUGGCUUUGGCAUACUAAGGAUGACUGGGAUGGGGACCCACAACAUUGAUGACAUGUCUUACAUGGAUCCAGUAUACCUAGAAACAGGCCUGCUAACUGAAAAAAGUGAUGUCUACAGUUUUGGAGUCAUCAUCUUGGAGCUUCUUACAAGGAAAAAGGCGUCACAUUCCGACAAUAACAGCUUAGUAAGGAGUUUCCUCGAGAAUCACAAGCAAGGGAGGAAAACAACUGAGUUGUUUGAUAAGCAAAUUGCAGUGACAGGAGAUCUGGUGCUUCUAGACAAUCUAGCAGAAAUUGCUGUGGAAUGUCUUAACCUUGAAGCAGAACGAAGACCGGAAAUGAAAGAUGUUGCAGAGCGCCUUGAAAGACUGAAGAAGGUGAAGCAUUUGCAAGACGAAUUGGAACAACAUGUACGUCAUCUCAAAUAA